Molecule: long non-coding RNA, 542 nt
Filed under: Vombatus ursinus (common wombat)
Lineage: Eukaryota; Metazoa; Chordata; Mammalia; Diprotodontia; Vombatidae
Description: lncRNA (ENSVURG00010022354.1)
Source: RNAcentral
GGCGCAUCGCGCUGUGCGUUGGGAGUUAUCUCGUGAGGCCCGUCAUCCGACAUUCGCGCCUGCCCGGUGCGUGUCUUCGGCUUGGAGCCCACAGCGUUGAGUGGGAGCGUUUGCAGACAUCCACGAGCCCAGUUCCUCGCUCCCCUACCCCUCCUGGCGGGGUGCGUCUCCACGCCCCUGAGCCCUCAGGGCCCCCAGGCUCCAGCUUUACUGGGAGGUGGUAGAGGGAUAUCCCAAGAAAAAGACCACGACCCAGGAGAAGACACCUGCCCUGAGACCUUCCCCCAAAGCUUGAGGGCAGCCCCAGCACCUGGCAUUGCUGGUGCGGCGAUUCCAGCCUGGCUGGGCAGAGACUACUGCAGUGGAGGAAACAGCGAGGAAGGAGUUGUCCAUGGAGGACUCGUCUCUUAUGCUUGAGGACAGAGCUGGUCUUCCUCAAGACAACAGUAUAGAGGAGGAGGAGGAGGAGGACGAAGGAACGACUUCUGGAUUCUGCUCUGCCCGGGUUCAGGUGAGUUCAUGUUUACUCUCUCCCGUCAUUU